This is a long non-coding RNA of Syzygium oleosum, 1753 nucleotides long. RefSeq lists it as uncharacterized. The record is from RefSeq and is a predicted model, not a curated record. Lineage: Eukaryota; Viridiplantae; Streptophyta; Magnoliopsida; Myrtales; Myrtaceae. The transcript has 3 exons.
UUUAUUUUUCGAUCUUCUUCUCUCUCUGGUGAAUAAAUCACUUGCAUAAGGAUGAAAUCAACAUAAAGAUGACUUGUAAUGAGUUUAUUAUUAACAAAUGUCAUGGAAAAUUUUCCAGCCAGAUAAAUUGCCGAGGAUGGUUCAUCGACCCAUCUUUUUAAAAAUUUCGGGAGUUAAGAAUUUUAGUUUGUACUUUGUAAAAAUCUUGUCGAAUUCGAAGAAAAAACGAUGAGAUUAUUGGUAGGCUUCAUGGGGAUGCUACUUAUAAGAACUGAAAGAGACGAUUUGGCUUCCCCCUCUAAGCAAGAUAUUUCCACAAAUCUCUUAGUUUCCUCGUUUAAAAUUAUAGCUGCACAUUCUAAAAAGAGAUAAGACACUAAUUUAUCAUGGUUUCUCUUCCCAAUUAAAAACCCAUGAAAAAGAUGAGAAUCACUUUGAAAGGUUGUUAAGAUUAUUUGACAAGAGGAUCCAAACAAAAUCUAUCACGCAUCAUUAAUUCUCAAAAUCCUCUUUAAUGAUAACAAUAGUAAUAGUAAUAAUAUAGUGCGUAUAGCCAGACGGUGUAACGAGUAAGUGAAGAUUUUUCUUGUAAAAGAGAGAGCAGUAACCACCUCACCAAUCUACAUGCACCAUUAGAUCUGCUAUAUGUCUUUUGAGAACGCUCACGAAACGGACCGUCGUGGGCGUAAGGAUUGGUAUGCUAAGGAGGGUACCCAGGAAACCGGAUAAUGUGAUAUAUAUACAUCCGCUUGAGGGAGGCCAGAGAUAGAGAGAGCAGAGCAGAGGGAAAUACUCUCCAGGGGUGAUUUCUCUUCAUCCCGUUGGCGUUUCACGGCGUCCUCCUUAGUUCGUCUCUUAGUGGUUGCUGCCACCGCCGACGGCCGCAUCAUCGCCGUUGCGCCGCCACUCCUUUGCGCGUCUCUGUUUUUCCGGGCCAGAGAGUUCGAAGCGUCCUAAUCUCGAGCCUUCAAACUACACCCGGCGCGAAUCGUUGUUGUCGGUGCUUUUCGUUCCGUCAGAUUUAGCUACCCGUCGAGGCCUGAAACCAGGUCACUGACUUGGACCUCGCCGAGGCAUUCGACUGUUCGCAAAGAGUUUUGAAGACCCGUCAGGCUCACCAGAAGCUUCAGCCUCCGUUGAGAAGGGCGGGUCGCAGGGUGGUCGUAGGGCAGCUCGCUCUCUCAGAGGUCGAGACGUUCUGGUGCUCGAAUUGGCGGCCGACCUUGGGGACCGGCAUGAGCUCUCGCAACGGCGAGGUCAUCCAUGUCGGCAGAUGUUACCCUCCCAAUUCACUCAAGGCGACUGAUAGCCCUCGCCUCCAUCAACUUUCGCUUCCUUCAACUCCAUAUCAGGACGUUGUAACCACCGCCUACGGUGGCUAUUCGUCACUGCCGAGCUGAGCAGGAAUUUCCCUGCUCGUCCCUGGUUUUGGAGCGCCAUUGUUGAAGAGUUCAAAUAGUGGCGGCGAUCAACCCCCUCGCAGAUUCUCAAGCCUUCUAGAUCACCGCCGGUAUUGUUUUGUUCAAAGCCGAUCGGUCGUCGCUGCAGGUAAUCACCUUUUGCUAGAUCGAACUGAGUAUCUUCUGUUUUAGGUGUAUGAGUAUGAAAGCAGAGGCUGAGAAUCUAGUUCUUGCUAGCUUGAAAAUCGCACGUGUCAGAGCUUAUAUUCGUGAUUACGACUUGUCCGUGAUAGUUUCAGGUUGAACCGGUUUUGAUUUCCACUAAUUCGUCAUCGUGUUGUUCUCUGUCUCAA